This is a non-coding RNA of Acanthosepion pharaonis, 97 nucleotides long. Lineage: Eukaryota; Metazoa; Mollusca; Cephalopoda; Sepiida; Sepiidae. The record is from the annotation of a GenBank genome assembly.
GUUGAAACACUGCCUCCCCUACGAUCACCGAAGUUAAGCAGCGUCGAGCCUGGUUAGUACCCUAGUGUGUGGCCACUUAGGAAUACCAGGUGCUGUA